CUACGGGGGGCUCCAGUGGGGAAUAUUGGACAAUGGGGGAAACCCUGAUCCAGCAAUGCCGCGUGUGUGAAGAAGGCCUGCGGGUUGUAAAGCACUUUCGGUUGGGAGGACUGCUUCUAGCACUAAUAUUGUUGGAAGUUGACGUUACCUUCAGAAGAAGCACCAGCUAACUCCGUGCCAGCAGCCGCGGUAAUACGGAGGGUGCAAGCGUUAAUCGGAAUUACUGGGCGUAAAGCGCGCGUAGGCGGCUAGAUCAGUCGGGUGUGAAAGCCCCGGGCUUAACCUGGGAACUGCAUCCGAUACUGUCUAGCUUGAGUACAGGAGAGGAGAGUGGAAUUCCACAUGUAGCGGUGAAAUGCGUAGAUAUGUGGAGGAACACCAAUGGCGAAGGCAGCUCUCUGGCCUGAUACUGACGCUGAGGUGCGAAAGCGUGGGGAGCAAACGGGAUUAGAUACCCUUGUAGUC
Molecule: ribosomal RNA, 465 nt
Filed under: uncultured bacterium
Lineage: Bacteria
Description: partial 16S ribosomal RNA
Rfam family: Bacterial small subunit ribosomal RNA
Source: RNAcentral